This 333-nucleotide long non-coding RNA is filed under the name Ananas comosus (pineapple). RNAcentral's name for it is "long non-coding RNA (ACOM_LNC022936)". The record is from RNAcentral. Lineage: Eukaryota; Viridiplantae; Streptophyta; Magnoliopsida; Poales; Bromeliaceae.
ACCAUUUUCGGUUAGUUAUUCAAUUUUUUUAAGUUUUGAUUUUACUAUCUAAUCUUUUAAUAUGUUUGGUUUGAAACACUUAACGGUAUUUUAACUUUAAAAUUUAAAUGUCUCGUUUUUCUUAACAAAUUUAGUUAGUAUAUAUUAUGUAAUUCUUGCAGCUAUAAAUUAAUUAAAGUAAGUAAUUAUUUUAAAUUUUAAAUUCAACAUAUCAUUGACUGAUUCAAAUUAAACAAAUUGAAAUGUAUAGCUGAUUCAAAAUGGUUCAAAAUUUAAAUAAGUUUUAUACGUUUUUUACAUAAAAUAAAUGUAGUUUUUCAGGCAUAGAUUUUU